AUUGAACGCUGGCGGCAGGCCUAACACAUGCAAGUCGAGCGGAUGAGGGGAGCUUGCUCCCUGAUUUAGCGGCGGACGGGUGAGUAAUGCCUAGGAAUCUGCCUGGUAGUGGGGGAUAACGUUCCGAAAGGAACGCUAAUACCGCAUACGUCCUACGGGAGAAAGCAGGGGACCUUCGGGCCUUGCGCUAUCAGAUGAGCCUAGGUCGGAUUAGCUAGUUGGUGAGGUAAUGGCUCACCAAGGCGACGAUCCGUAACUGGUCUGAGAGGAUGAUCAGUCACACUGGAACUGAGACACGGUCCAGACUCCUACGGGAGGCAGCAGUGGGGAAUAUUGGACAAUGGGCGAAAGCCUGAUCCAGCCAUGUCGCGUGUGUGAAGAAGGUCUUCGGAUUGUAAAGCACUUUAAGUUGGGAGGAAGGGCUGCUGGUUAAUACCCUGCAGUUUUGACGUUACCAACAGAAUAAGCACCGGCUAACUUCGUG
RNAcentral lists this ribosomal RNA (484 nucleotides) under uncultured bacterium. Its description in RNAcentral is "partial 16S ribosomal RNA". It matches the Rfam family "Bacterial small subunit ribosomal RNA", at positions 30 to 507 of the family's 1533-position model. The record is from RNAcentral.